RNAcentral lists this ribosomal RNA (1041 nucleotides) under Salmonella enterica. Its description in RNAcentral is "bacterial SSU rRNA". It matches the Rfam family "Bacterial small subunit ribosomal RNA", at positions 1 to 1031 of the family's 1533-position model. Lineage: Bacteria; Pseudomonadati; Pseudomonadota; Gammaproteobacteria; Enterobacterales; Enterobacteriaceae. The record is from RNAcentral.
AAAUUGAAGAGUUUGAUCAUGGCUCAGAUUGAACGCUGGCGGCAGGCCUAACACAUGCAAGUCGAACGGUAACAGGAAGCAGCUUGCUGCUUUGCUGAUGAGUGGCGGACGGGUGAGUAAUGUCUGGGAAACUGCCUGAUGGAGGGGGAUAACUACUGGAAACGGUGGCUAAUACCGCAUAACGUCGCAAGACCAAAGAGGGGGACCUUCGGGCCUCUUGCCAUCAGAUGUGCCCAGAUGGGAUUAGCUUGUUGGUGAGGUAACGGCUCACCAAGGCGACGAUCCCUAGCUGGUCUGAGAGGAUGACCAGCCACACUGGAACUGAGACACGGUCCAGACUCCUACGGGAGGCAGCAGUGGGGAAUAUUGCACAAUGGGCGCAAGCCUGAUGCAGCCAUGCCGCGUGUAUGAAGAAGGCCUUCGGGUUGUAAAGUACUUUCAGCGGGGAGGAAGGUGUUGUGGUUAAUAACCACAGCAAUUGACGUUACCCGCAGAAGAAGCACCGGCUAACUCCGUGCCAGCAGCCGCGGUAAUACGGAGGGUGCAAGCGUUAAUCGGAAUUACUGGGCGUAAAGCGCACGCAGGCGGUCUGUCAAGUCGGAUGUGAAAUCCCCGGGCUCAACCUGGGAACUGCAUUCGAAACUGGCAGGCUUGAGUCUUGUAGAGGGGGGUAGAAUUCCAGGUGUAGCGGUGAAAUGCGUAGAGAUCUGGAGGAAUACCGGUGGCGAAGGCGGCCCCCUGGACAAAGACUGACGCUCAGGUGCGAAAGCGUGGGGAGCAAACAGGAUUAGAUACCCUGGUAGUCCACGCCGUAAACGAUGUCUACUUGGAGGUUGUGCCCUUGAGGCGUGGCUUCCGGAGCUAACGCGUUAAGUAGACCGCCUGGGGAGUACGGCCGCAAGGUUAAAACUCAAAUGAAUUGACGGGGGCCCGCACAAGCGGUGGAGCAUGUGGUUUAAUUCGAUGCAACGCGAAGAACCUUACCUGGUCUUGACAUCCACGGAAGAAUUCAGAGAUGGAUUUGUGCCUUCGGGAACCGUG